This is a long non-coding RNA of Pan troglodytes (chimpanzee), 3065 nucleotides long. RefSeq lists it as uncharacterized. The record is from RefSeq and is a predicted model, not a curated record. Lineage: Eukaryota; Metazoa; Chordata; Mammalia; Primates; Hominidae. The transcript has 3 exons.
CCCCUUCUCCUGGGGCUACAUAGCCAUAGUAAGAACUGUAAUCGCUUUCUCAUAAGUGAACAUUCACUAUGGACACUGUGAUGCAUAGCUUUGUGCACACUCUUCUGGUUUCCUUGUCCAGGUUUAUUUUUCAUGAUUGCCAGAGAGGGAAAGAAAAUAUAUUUUGUACUUUAAGGAGUUAAUGAAGUGCAGCUAAGAGAAGACAAAAAUAAAAGUUUAUACAGUACAGGAUGACUAAAUGAAUUUGUGGGCUUUAAGAGCAUUUUUAUAAAGGGCUUCAGGAUAUUUAAAUAUAUUUUAAUGUAUUUGAUUGCAUUUUGACUUUUGAGCCUCACCAUCAGCUAAAUCCCUUGUGAGCCUAUGACUCCAAUCCGGCAAUUGUUUCCCAAAAACUGAAGGAGUUCUAGACAAAUCAGUGUUAUUAUUCUGAAUCACCCUUUUUAAAAACAUUCCUUUGUUUUUUGUGCAUAUGAUAUUGUUAUGGGUUGAAUUGUGUCUCCUCAAAAAUAUAUGUUGAAGUCAUUAGCCCCAGAGCCUAAGAAUGUGACUUUAUUUGGAAAUAAGGUUUUUACAGAGACAAUCCAAGUUUAAGUCAUGAGGCUAGUCCCUAAUCCAAUAGGACUGAUGUCCUUAUAAAAAGAGAAAUUUGGGUCCAGAGAAGGAUAUGCACAGAGGGAAUACAUAUCCUGUGAAAAGACAGAGACACAGGGAGAGCAUCAUUUGAAGAUGAAGGCAGGAAUUGGAGAACUUCAUCUACAAGGCCCCAAAGCUUGCCCGCAAACCUCCAGAGGCCAGGAGAGAGGCAUGGAACAGAUUCUUCGUCACAGCCCUCAGAAAAAAACUCAUCCUGUGGAAACCUUGACUUUGGACUUCCAGCCUCAAUAAGGGUCACUAAUCUACUCUUAUCUCAACUGUGACUUUGAAUAUGGUGAUGAAGAUAUGAACAGAUACCAGCUGACCAUUCAAAAGAAUAAAGAAGGGAUUCUGGAGCUCACACGGGAGAGUAAGACGUGAGUUAGACUCUUCCAUAGAAUCCAGUGCUGAAGGCCAUCUUGCCUGAAAAAAUCCUGUCAGAGCCUCCUACUCUAACUUAGAUUUUGCAGAAAAGACUGGACAGAGUUGUGGUGGUUUUGGGGACUAGAAAGACGGUCCUUGUUGAUCAUAGUAGGGUUUCCUGCAAGGUAGGUGUAAGUUUGCACAUCAGAAAACAGAUGAAAGAAGUACUAGCAGGAGCUACCUUGCUCCUCUUAGCUCUUGUGUACUCAGCCAUAUCCUGACAAAGGAAAUGAGUGCUAGGUAGUAGCAGUAACUGAAGUGAGCAAGGGACCAUCCUGAAAAAAAAAAAAAAAGACAAAUCUCAAAGACUAGGGUCAAGACCAUCACUCAGGAGAAGGGAAAUGCUAGGGUAAAUGUAUUAUCUCCCUUUCCCAAAUACAUGAAAGGGAGGUAACUCUAAAGUGAAAGGUAAGUACUUGCAUGUUGGAUAUGCUUCAUAAUAAGUUUUACUUAAGCAAAAAUAAAAAUAAAUAAAGGAAAAUUAGACUGAAAAAAUGGUAAUUUAUUUCAGAGCAGUUGUUUUUUUACUCUAUGGUAAGCAGAGUAGAUGCAACCCAGUUCUACAACUUAGAUCAAUCUCACAGGGAAAGCCUCAUUUUUUAUUUUCCUGUUUCUGCACUUCAGCCUUAGAACAAACUAAGACAACCUCACUGCUGUGGGCAGAUGCAGGCAGUUGUUUUGCAAGCAGAGGUCAACCAUUUUUAAAAGGAUACACACACAGUAAAGUCUCUAGAGCUCACAAUAAAGUAUACAAACUUACAUAGGCAGAGUUUUGUUUUACAGGUACAUUAUCAACUAUUUUUAGCUGAAAUAUUAAUAUUUCUACUGAGGCAAGCAUGGAAAAACACAGCAAGCAGAACUAGUAAAGACAUACACACACCUACAUUUAUUUGCUCAGGAAGACAAAAAAUUAUUUCUGAUGAUUCAGACUUAAGGAGAAAUUAAAUGUUUCUUUGCAUGUUUUAUUGCAACUUUGUGUUCUCUUUGGGGACUGGAUUCCAUCACUGGUGUCACUGACUGUGGAUAUCUGAUGUCAGAAGAAUCCAGUAAAGCCUCCACAUGGCGUGCCAGUUCUGUCUCCUUACACUUUAGCCAGGAAGUGAUGCUAUUCAAGCUCCUCCAAUUCAGUAACAUGUUACUAAUUUAGACUUUGGAAAGGUAUUUUUCUCAUAGGGAGGCAAUGCCUGAUUUGUUACCUUCAAUUGCUCUUUCCAGCUAAGGCUUUAUUUGUAUAAAUUGCAAAAUCAAAUUUAAAAGAUACGAGUCAUUAAAGGUAGAAAUUUAUUGUCCAACAAUCUUCAAAUAAAAUUAAGUUUUCUAUAUUAUGUUAAUACUAGCUUCUGGGUAUUUAAUAAUUUGCAAAGAUAGGUGAAUGUCUCCACUUAAUAUAACAUGAAAUAAUGUAUAAUAGCAUAAAAUUUUACUUAAACAUCAUGACACCUUUUGAGGACCAGUUCACUUAAACCUGAACCAAACCUGGAUACAAGAGACUUAGAAGAAAGGCAAGGCAGUCAUUAUUCACCUCGACAUAUAUGUCCUUUGCAAUUAGGUGGAUGUCCAAUGUCUCUGAAAAGGUGUUAAGUCUCAGCACCAGAUGCUAGUUGGAAUCAUAAGCCAUAUUUGUAACCGGUAAAUCUUAAAAAUUGUUUUGUGUCUUAGAAAGCACAGAGGUCAAAGUAUCUUAAUCCAGGUGUGAGUCUGCCCAUAAAUUCUUAAAGGUAUGAGUUUCUAUUUGAAUUUUGAGAAGGGAAGAAGGGAAAAAGACAUGGAAAAAAAAGUUACAAUUAUCUUAAUGUGUUAGGAGGCAACAAAGGGAAUCCCUUUAUUCUACUGAGUCACUGGUAGCUUUGCCCAAUAAGAAAGAAUUAGCACUCCACUAAAGUUGCCGGUGUCAGUAAUGGUUUCAAGGGCACUGAAGGAUUUAAGAGAAGGGCAAAUUAAUUUCAAAGAAUGUAGGAAGUGUAUUUCUACUUCUUUUACUACUCCUGACUUUCCCCUAACACUUUUCU